GACACGGAGCCAGGCGGACUUGCAGGCAGCGGGGCCACCGCGGCUGCUGGGCGACCUCGGAGCCCUCGAAGCCCUCUGAGCCGCUCGGGCGGGCGCGGCGGUGAGAGCCCGGCGAGGCGGCCUCCUCGGCGAGCCCGGACUAGCAGGUGCCGCUCACGCUGGGCUGAGCGCACGCACACGCACACGCAGACGGGCAGGGCGCGGGCUAGCGGGGACCGCGCGGGGCGGGCCGGAGGCGCGCAGCUGCCGCCGCCACCGCCUCCGCCGCUGCUGGUACUGCCGCUGGUGCUGAUGCUGCGGGCGCUCCGCCAAAGAAGAACAGCUCAGGGAUGCUCAGCGGAGGCAUCAGAGGGCACACAACUUGCUGCCCACUGCAAAGUUGCCGCUUGCCACUUCCUUAUUAUUCGGUUUUCAUCUCCAGGCUGCAAGUCCAAGGAGAGGAUCGAGGCAGACAAGUGAGUCCAUUGUGUGAGUGUUUGCCCGGCAGCAGGCACCUGGCGACGGUCGAGAGGGGGAGAUGUGCGCCACUCACUAGAAGGCUGCCAAAGAUCAGCUACAAGCCAGGCGGCUGAGCAGUGCUUUGGAAGGUGGAAGAAACAAGGAGUUCACCAAGCAUCUGCUGAGGGAUGCCUGUCCCUGGAACAAAGAUGCCAUCAGCCAAUCACUGACAGCUUUGGGAUUCUUCUACUGCUGCCUGUUGCAGAAUCAGCUUUCUGGGCUCUGCAAUGAAUUAAUUUUUCUUCAUCUUUCAUAAACUAUUCUAUCAAACCUGUUUCUCUGUAUUGCUUUGAAUGUGGUUUGCACAAAAUUAGUUGCAAACGUCUGUAUUAUAAAAUAAAUACAGUUUGUUGUCUCUCA
RNAcentral lists this long non-coding RNA (858 nucleotides) under Mus caroli (Ryukyu mouse). RNAcentral describes it as "lncRNA (MGP_CAROLIEiJ_G0005570.1)". Lineage: Eukaryota; Metazoa; Chordata; Mammalia; Rodentia; Muridae. The record is from RNAcentral.